CCUACGGGAGGCAGCAGUGGGGAAUCUUAGACAAUGGGGGCAACCCUGAUCUAGCCAUGCCGCGUGAGUGAUGAAGGCCUUAGGGUUGUAAAGCUCUUUCAGCUGGGAAGAUAAUGACGGUACCAGCAGAAUAAGCCCNGGCUAACUCCGUGCCAGCAGCCGCG
Molecule: ribosomal RNA, 164 nt
Filed under: uncultured bacterium
Lineage: Bacteria
Description: partial 16S ribosomal RNA
Rfam family: Bacterial small subunit ribosomal RNA
Source: RNAcentral